This is a non-coding RNA of Oryctolagus cuniculus (rabbit), 1512 nucleotides long. The record is from RefSeq and is a predicted model, not a curated record. Lineage: Eukaryota; Metazoa; Chordata; Mammalia; Lagomorpha; Leporidae.
UGGCUCCCCCCAGGCAUGCUGGGUAGUGAAUGAGAAGCUGCUGACUUCCCAGGAUGUGGGCCCCUCCCCCUGCCUAGUGGCGGUUGCUUCCGUUGGGGUUUCCAGGGCAGCCGUGUUCUGACAGUUGGCUGGGGCCACACCCACUCCUCCCAUAGACUUCUGGGUGCUGAGCACUCCAGGAAGGGCUUCUGCAUGUCCCAGCCCAGGUCUCCUAUUCAGACCAAUGUGUUUUGCCACCACUGAGUCCAGGGAACUACUUUUGUGCCUUCCUGGGAUGCUGGUUGCUUGUGGCACCCUGGGCAUUGGGCAAGGAGGGGCAUGAGCAGCACCUUGGCUGGGACUCCAGGGUCCUGUGCAAGCUCUUGCCUUUGCCCAGAAAUCACCCUCACUCCAGAUGUCUGGCGUCCCAUCCUUAAAGAGUUCUUCUCUGCAGGAAGGAGUAGCCCCUAUGAAGCUACCAGUUCUUUGUGGGAAAGACCCACAUCAAGUGGCCUGCCCUCUCUUAUUCCUUAAUGGGAGUUGUCAGGGCCCUUGAGACAAGUGGCCUCAGGCUGAGUGGGAGGGGGAAAGAGUCCUAGAAGAGGAACAAGUCUGGUGCACCCCAGCAGCCUGGAAGGGCGGGGCAAGGAAACACCCCCAAUUUCCCAAGUGUCAACUACAAGCAGCCUCCUGCUCAGGCUGGAGAUGUGCUUGCCUCCAAGUUUAGGUUUAGAGACUGGGCCACAGGGCUGUAGCUUCGGGUGGGCUCCUAAGACUGAGGGAACAUCCGAUUCUCCUGUGUGCCCUCCUGCAGACCCUCCUGGCAACAUUUCCCAGAAGCCAUAACAUGUCCCUGCGGUGCAGGCAUUUCAAGUCCAGAUCAGGACUGAUCAGGCAGUGCCUGGGGAGGAAGAGAUUGAACUCCAAGUCAAGGAAGGAGCCACAGGACUCCCAAGAGAGGUCCCACCUGGCUCUGCAAGUACAUUGUUCAGCAACUGAGAGGACAAAGGAGAGAGUCUUGCUUCACCCACACUGCUGAUUGAGGUUCCAGAGUCUUCCAACAGCUCCCUACCCCAAAACUUUUCCAUGGACCAUAACCAAGGGGGCUCAUAGCACCUGUCUCUUGUCUGUUUUCUCUUGCCCCUUGGUCCUCAACUGGAAAUGGUAAUUAGUUGGCUCCACAUCAGACAAUAUCUGGUCCCUGAGAUAUGGUCUUGAGAUGUUGUACUUCAUAUCCCCACCCUACCUUCCACACGAAUUAUGGGCCAAUUCCCAGAGAGAUCCUGCUCACCAGCUUCUUGGUACAAAACACUAGUCCUGGGAUGCUACAUUCAUGAUAUGUACUCAAGGCCAACCCCCAUAGUUACUUGUCUCUCAAUCCUAUUGUCUCCAUUGCUCUCUUAGUUUGUGCUUCUGGAGGGCAGGGCACUGUUUCUCAUGCAUUUCUGCAUCCCUGAUGCUUAGCUCAGAACUAAGCACACAUACUCAGUGCAAGGUUUUUAGAAUAAAAUAAUUCCAAAAUGAUGUAAACAA